GUGGCUUUGUCGUUUGUGAAAAAGGGGAAAUGUUGGCCUGAGGAAAGGACGAUGUAAUUUUGCACACAGCAGAGACAACAAUAUGCAGAGGAAAUAUGCAAUGAAAAACGGUUAAAGUAACGAGCAUUGGGAGUGAAUAGAGGGGUACGAAAUAGAGACUGGAGAUUGGAAUAGAGAAUGGAGACACAAUGGCAAAGAGGGGGGGUGAGAAUUAGAGGAGGAAAAAAUGGGCUCAAGAGGGAGGCUAUGAUCACAAAUAAAAAAACCUUUUCCUUCAUCAAGGGCGAGGGGGUGAGGUUUUCUGGAGAUUCGAACGCCUGCAUCAGCUUCACUCUUUUCUGUUGCAACAGUCAUUGGAGACACCAGGCAAUAGCAUAGGGGCCCUCAAGAGGUAAGAAUUCCCUCACUCAUUCAUAUAAUCACAUGUGAUGCUUGCUGUAUUGUGAAUGGUUGUUCUAUGAACUGUGUGUUAUACUAGCUUUUGGUUAUGACUUUGUGUAUGAAUCCCCCAUUCUUCAUUCUCAAUGAUCGUCGAACAUCGUCAUCGCCAUGCUCUUUACUUAGCUAGUUACUUACCCGGAAAAAAAAAAAAACAAUCAAGCAGAGUUUAUCUGCUAACUUCAUCCCGUACCACAUUAACCAACCCUCUCAGAACCGAAGGAUAAAUUCCCUCCCUUGUCAUCUCCUCACACGGCACCAUAGCCUCUUCCAUCUACACCCAGACGAGAAACAACACGAAACACAAAACCAAACAGAUAACACCAUCAUCAAACCGAAUCAGUCCAUAACCCAAUCCUGCCCCACCAUCACCACGUAUACCUACACCAUACCCAAACCUUCCCAUCGUAUCAUCAACACACCCAGUGCAAAACACACACGCACAAUAGCAUACACACAAUACAGAACACAGACCUGUACAAGAACACAAGCACAAAAUCAGAAAUUCCAAAUCAUCGCCAAACAACCCUAUCUCCAUCGGAAUUCAAGUAGAAGAUGAAGGUUGAGAAACAGGAAGCGACGUGCCCUGUUCGAAGGCUGUGACCUCGGAGGUGGAGACGGUGAAGUUGGUGAGUUCGAUGACAGAGUCUGACUCCACUGGCCAAAGGGGCAUGGGGCACCGGCAGCCAGUCUCGGCGGAAGCGGCGGAAGCGAUUAGAUCUCAGAGUUGGAAUCGCGUUCGUGCGAAGAGGAGGGAGAGGGCAAGCGAUGGGGUCUCCAGCGAUGUUAAGCCUGGUAGGAGACGGUGGCGCGGUGGCUAGAUUCGAAGCAGUGGUGGCCGGCGGUGCUCAAGGGUGGAAACCCCAAUCCUAGGACGAAGCGAGAGAGGAAAAGGGGAAACGACGCUGUGGCCAGCCUUGGCUCCGGUGACACCCGUUGUCGCCGGCGAUGUGGCGACUUAUGGAGGUGGUGGCAUGUGGCCCAGUCUGGUAGAGGCGGUGUGUGCGUGGAUUCGAGGGAGGCAAACCCCUCCCUGGGUUGCCUGUCGCGAGAGAGACUCUAGGUCUCUGGUGUUGAGUGUGUAUGGAAUGGGGGGAAGAAUGAGAGAACCCCUCC
This 1554-nucleotide long non-coding RNA is filed under the name Vigna radiata. RNAcentral's name for it is "long non-coding RNA (VRAD_LNC014941)". Lineage: Eukaryota; Viridiplantae; Streptophyta; Magnoliopsida; Fabales; Fabaceae. The record is from RNAcentral.